CCCUUAGAUGUUCUGGGCCGCACGCGUGCUACACUGAGUGGAUCAGCGGGUCAGGUUGCGCGAAAGCGUUUCCUAAUCUUUAAAUCCGCUCGUGAUGGGGAUUGACGGUUGCAAUUUUCUGUCAUGAACGAGGAAUACCUUGUAAGCGCGGGUCAUCAUCCCGCGCUGAAUACGUCCCUGCCCUUUGUACACACCGCCCGCCGCUCCUACCGAUUGAGUGGUCCGGUGAGGCUUUGGGAUCUGAGCGGAAAGAGCGUUUCGCUGUUUCUGCCCGGAAAACUCAGUCGAACCUUAUCAUUUAGAGGAAGGAGAAGUCGUAACA
RNAcentral lists this ribosomal RNA (322 nucleotides) under uncultured eukaryote. Its description in RNAcentral is "partial 18S ribosomal RNA". It matches the Rfam family "Eukaryotic small subunit ribosomal RNA", at positions 1470 to 1796 of the family's 1831-position model. The record is from RNAcentral.